GGAGACUCGGGCUUUUUGCUGCUCCAGGACCGUCGCGGCCCAGAGGAGGCGCGUCGCCGCCGAACCUGCGGCCGUCCCUGCCUGGCGGAGCCCGCGGACGAGGGCGUGGACGGUGCGGGUGGCCUGGACGACUGGGCCGCGCCGCUCGAGGACCCGCUGCGGAGCUGCUGCCUGGCGGCCGGGGACACGGACGACCCGGACCCCACAGCUACCACCUCUGCCGGGAGGGACGUUGGGAGCGCGGAGUCCAGCCUCGGCCUCCCCGACGCCCGCUUCGGCUCUCGGAACACGUUCGAGGUGAGCCGCCGUCAGAGCGCUGGCGACCUCCUGCCCUCGGCGGGGCAGUCCGCACCCUUGCCAGCGGCAGAGCAGGGCCCCGGGGGCACCACGGUUCGGGCUCGACGGAGCGGUGGCUUCGCGGAUU
RNAcentral lists this long non-coding RNA (424 nucleotides) under Rattus norvegicus (Norway rat). RNAcentral describes it as "long non-coding RNA NONRATT001712". Lineage: Eukaryota; Metazoa; Chordata; Mammalia; Rodentia; Muridae. The record is from RNAcentral.